RNAcentral lists this ribosomal RNA (363 nucleotides) under Triticum aestivum (bread wheat). RNAcentral's name for it is "partial small subunit ribosomal RNA". Lineage: Eukaryota; Viridiplantae; Streptophyta; Magnoliopsida; Poales; Poaceae. The record is from RNAcentral.
AUGUGGAGGAAUCCGGAAUACUUCACCCCGAACCCGUCCCUGCAUCAACAAGGGGAGCAAGAGGACCUGAGCAUCGACGAGGACUUGUUCCAGCCGUGGAGCCCCUGGUGCAUAGAUCGGGGGGCGCAGGCGAGGGCGUGGAGGAGGACGACGGCGACGACGGCGGCGGCGGCGAGGAGCAGCGCGACUACCACCAGAUCGGCGAAGGGGCAAGAAGACAUAUACGAGUGGUGGGGCGUCUUCUUCUUCUUCCCCGACGGCGGUCGUCGCCUCCGGCCGGCCUCCCUGAGCUCGCUAAAACCCCGACCCAAAGCGGCGAGAGGAGCAAAAGGGGUUGGGAUGGUCUCCUCCUCCGAUAUUUAA